This 336-nucleotide long non-coding RNA is filed under the name Olea europaea subsp. europaea. The record is from RNAcentral. Lineage: Eukaryota; Viridiplantae; Streptophyta; Magnoliopsida; Lamiales; Oleaceae.
UUUUUUUUUAACGAGGUGUCCCAGCUUACGCCAGACUAUAUCCUCGUCCCUGAAUCUCCGGCCCCUCAGCUGCUCAGGGAGGUAAAUCGCAGGAUGUGCCCUUGUUGGUUCCCAAAUUCCCACAUGACUUUUACUCCUUUCCCAAAGGGAGCCUCCUCCAUGGUUAUUACAUCACCAAACUGCUCCAACCCUUCCUCUGGUUAUUACAUCACUUGGCUGCUCCAACCAGGAAUCGAACUCCCCACGCUUGGUUCCAGAGCCUCCCAAUGUGAUUGUUCCGCCAACUUGGAUGUGCCCUGGGAGGCGAAUAGAGUCCUUUUUUUUUUCUAGCAUUUG